Molecule: ribosomal RNA, 183 nt
Filed under: Conglomerata obtusa
Lineage: Eukaryota; Fungi; Microsporidia
Description: partial large subunit ribosomal RNA
Rfam family: Archaeal large subunit ribosomal RNA
Source: RNAcentral
ACAUUACGUUCGAAGGAUCGAUUGGCUUUGGUGACGAUGAAGAACGUUGCAGAUUGCGAUAUUGAGUGAGAAUAGCGUUAUUCAGCUCGUGUUCGAAUUAUAGAUGAUAUCUAUGAUAACUCCUUGGACUUAAGCAUAUCAUUAGAGGAAGGAGAAGAAAAUAACGAUGAUUUCGAUAGUAGC